UUUUAUUUGAGAGUUUGAUCCUGGCUCAGGAUGAACGCUGGCGGCGUGCCUAACACAUGCAAGUUGAGCGAUUUACUUCGGUAAAGAGCGGCGGACGGGUGAGUAACGCGUGGGUAACCUACCCUGUACACACGGAUAACAUACCGAAAGGUAUGCUAAUACGGGAUAAUAUAUUUGAGAGGCAUCUCUUGAAUAUCAAAGGUGAGCCAGUACAGGAUGGACCCGCGUCUGAUUAGCUAGUUGGUAAGGUAACGGCUUACCAAGGCGACGAUCAGUAGCCGACCUGAGAGGGUGAUCGGCCACAUUGGAACUGAGACACGGUCCAAACUCCUACGGGAGGCAGCAGUGGGGCAUAUUGCCCAAUGGGCGAAAGCCUGAUGCAGCAACGCCGCGUGAGUGCUGCAGGCCUUCGGGUCGUAAAACUCUGUCCUCAAGGAAGAUAAUGACGGUACUUGAGGAGGAAGCCCCGGCUAACUACGUGCCAGCCGCCGCGGUAAUACGGAGGGGGCUAGCUGUAUCCGGCUGUACUGGGCGGAAAGGGUGCGUAG
RNAcentral lists this ribosomal RNA (548 nucleotides) under Clostridioides difficile. RNAcentral's name for it is "bacterial SSU rRNA". It matches the Rfam family "Bacterial small subunit ribosomal RNA", at positions 1 to 574 of the family's 1533-position model. The record is from RNAcentral. Lineage: Bacteria; Bacillati; Bacillota; Clostridia; Peptostreptococcales; Peptostreptococcaceae.